CCCCCCCCGCCCCGACCAAAAGGUUCUCAUGUUGCUCCUUCGUUGCUCCCGAAUUUAAAGCUAUUGGUUAAAUAAAAGUGCCUACAGCCAAUUACUGGGAAAAUAGAAAUAGGUAGAGUUUUAGUUUCCAGGCCAGGGGUCGCAGGCAGGGAUCAGGAGGAGAGAAAAAGGAGAAAGAAGGCAGGAGAACAAGAGCUUUCCAUUAGACAAGAUAGACCAGGGACAUGUGGCCCAGUGAAAUGUCCCCUGAGGACAGGCUGAUGAAACAAAUAACCUGGGCCAGCAAAGCUGGGGACUUAAGAGUACAGUGUAUAGAAAAAUGGGUUACGGGUAAUUCACAUAAUAAUUGUGCUAAAGCUGAUUUUUUAAAAAUCUGUCUGAAUUGAUUAUUGGGUAAAGGCUAAAUCAAAUUAAGAAUAGAAUUAAUUAAUAACUUUUCUCUCUUUUUUUAAUCAGAUAUGUUCUUUAUUUACAUUUCAGAUGUUAUCCCCUUUCCCAGUUUCCCUCACAGAAACCCCCUAUCCCAUCCCCCUCCCCCUGCUUCUAUGAGGGUGUUCCCCUAUCCACCCACCCACCCACUCCCACCUCCCUACCCAGGCAUUCUUCCACACUGGGGCAUUGAACCUUCCAGAACCAAGAAAGGACCAACCUCUCCUCCCAUUGAUGCCCAACAAGACCAUCCUCUGCGACAUAUGUGGCUGGCACCAUGGGUCCCUCCAUGGUAUUCCUUGGUUGAUGACUGGUCCCUGGGAAUUCUGAGGGUCUGGUUGGUUGAUAUUGUUGUUCUUCCUAUGAGGUUGCAAAGCCCUUCAGCUCCUUUGGUCCUUUCUCUAACUCCUCCAAUGGGGACCCCAUGCUCAGUCCAGUGGUUGGCUGCAAGCAUCCGCCUCUGUAUUUGUCAGGCCCUGGCAGAGCCUCCCAGGAUAACGUUUUAGCAACAGAUUCCACUUACUCCCUACUCAGAACAAAAACCAUGUCAUUCAUGCCUCCAUCCCAGAUCUCUUACUGAGCAUCAAUCAAUGAGGAAUUACUGCUUAUAGUGAAGACAAUGAGCCAACACUAGGGAAGGAACUUAAACCAAUGUACAGAAGAGCCCACUAUCAACAUUACUACAUAGAAUAGUGACCCUUAGCCUUCCUAAUGCUGUGACCCUUUAGUGCAUUUCCUCAUGUUCUGGUGAUCCCCAACCAUAAAAUUAUUUUAUUACUACUUUAUAACUGUCAUGCUAGUGUUAUGAAUUGUAAUCACAAUGCAGAUGUCUGUUUCUUGAGUGGCCCCUGGGACAGGAUCAUUCCCCACUGAAGGACUCAGGAGCCACUGGUUUUUGAGAAGCACUGACAUGGAAUAUCCAUAUAGCAAGUCACAGAGUGUGUAAAAACAGUGCACACUAGCAGGAAAGCCAGAGAAGAACAUGCAAGCUAACGAGCAAUUUAGACGGUGACGCAAAGGAGAAAAGGUCUGAUGUGUUCUUGAGUUUUGGGUUGAGACAAGCUCUCAUUAUGGGGCCCUGGUUGACCUGGAACUCACUAUGUAGACCAGAUUGAGAGCCUGAGUUUGAUCCCCAGGACCCACGUGAAAAUGUUGGAUCUGGUGCUGUGUGCUUGUCACCCCUUUGCUACGAGAUAUGGUGGCUCACAACCAUCUGUAAUGGAAUCUGAUGCCCUCUUCUGGUGUGUCUGAAGACAGCUACAGUGUUCUCGUGUACAUUAAAUAAAUAAUAUUUUUUAAAACAUACU
This is a long non-coding RNA of Apodemus sylvaticus (European woodmouse), 1736 nucleotides long. RefSeq lists it as uncharacterized. The transcript has 3 exons. NCBI's taxonomy places the organism in Eukaryota, Metazoa, Chordata, Mammalia, Rodentia, Muridae. The record is from RefSeq and is a predicted model, not a curated record.